This is a long non-coding RNA of Leptidea sinapis, 1472 nucleotides long. RefSeq lists it as uncharacterized. The transcript has 4 exons. The record is from RefSeq and is a predicted model, not a curated record. Lineage: Eukaryota; Metazoa; Arthropoda; Insecta; Lepidoptera; Pieridae.
CGGCGAGCGGGGCUCGGGGGCCGCCGCCGCGCUCCAGAGGAACUGGUGCCUGGGGCUGCGGGCGCUGGAGCUGGUGCUGUCAGUGACGGCCGUGGGGCUGCUGACAGGCGCGCUAUCCUGGCCGCAGGUGGUGGCUGGUCACCGUCACAUCGCUCUCAUGUACUCCGCCUACAGCAGCUACGUCAUCAUCUGCGGCGUGCUGGUGGGUGCUCGUCUCCUGGGCGAGGCGGGCGGCUGGCGCUCGUCGCUGGCCUUCUCCGUGGUGGGUGCGGCCAUGUUCACGGCCGCCGCCGGCGUCGUGUUCUUCGACUGGCACAGAUCGUACUACGCCAACCUUCGCCCCAACAAGGAAGCCUACGACCUGCUGCUGUCCUCUGGGGUGUUCUCCGUCAUCAACGCAGCAGUUUUCCUCGUUCACGCAUUCCUUACUUUCAGAAAGGAAGCAGAUUAUUAAUUAGGACAGACAUGACAUGACGUGUCACCUAUCAUCAUUAUAAUAUGGCCGCUAUUAGUUUAAACAGAUCACUAAUAAUUAAGUUUAAAGCAUGUUAUAAACAUAACAACGAUACUAUCACUAUUUGUUCACUCCAAAGUUAAUUAGCUAUAAUAUUAAUUAAGAAAUCUGUAUAUAAAAUAUGUUGUCCUAUGUUGUACAUUCCAUUACGACAUUUGAAUUGUCUUUUAAAGUUUAAGUUUAAUUUAAGAGUUGCGAGAGCCACCGUCGUAACAUGACUCACCUCUAGUAAUAAUAUAAUAUAAUGCACAGUUUUAGUUAGUAACAGCUUGUAAGUAUUUUAUGUUAUGUUAUAGUUUUAGAAUAGGAAGACCAAAGCAGUAAUCAGUAUCCGUCCACUAAUUGUAGAUUAUAAAUUUAUUUUUCAGUCUUCAUAAUAAAUAUAUAAAGUCUUAUUUUAUUUCUAAUUACACAUUUAUAUAUUAUUAUUUAUUCUUUGCUUAUUUUUAAUGUUUAUGAGAUUUAUUGUUUUAUAUUGACUGUAUGACUUAAGUUGUACCACUCAUAAGCGUUCCUGUUUACUUCUUUUUUGUUCUUUAAAUCUUUGUAACGAACUACUUUAUUAGUAAGUUAAAAGAUAAUUCACGGUUUUUAAUAUAGCAUUUUUGUUAGUGAGUAAGUAAGUAACCUUUACAUCAUUUUAACGGCAAGGGUAAUUAUUUAUUUAAACAUAUUAAUCAUAGAUUGUUAAGUGCAUCAAUGUUUAUUUCGGCGCUAAUGUUACCUUAAUAUAUAUAAAUUUCAAAUCAUAUUUACAGAAGGUACUCGCGUAACGUUAUCCAUCGUAUAACAAUUGUAUUAAUUAAAUAUAAAAGUUUAUAAUUUGUUCUUGUGUAGUUAUAUAAUAUAUAAGAACAUAUAUAAUACCAAAUAUAUAUUAUGUACUUACAACUUGAUAUUCAAAACAUUUAAAUUGUAUUCAUGCAUACGUUAUAAUUAAAUAUUGUAUUUAUGACAA